CCUUCGACGAGUCGAGUUGUUUGGGAAUGCAGCUCUAAAUGGGAGGUAAAUUUCUUCUAAAGCUAAAUACUGGCCAGAGACCGAUAGCGCACAAGUAGAGUGAUCGAAAGAUGAAAAGCACUUUGGAAAGAGAGUCAAAUAGCACGUGAAAUUGUUGAAAGGGAAGCGCUUGCAGCCAGACUUGC
This 185-nucleotide ribosomal RNA is filed under the name Sphaerellopsis melampsorinearum. Its description in RNAcentral is "Sphaerellopsis sp. PAGZ-2023a partial large subunit ribosomal RNA". It matches the Rfam family "Eukaryotic large subunit ribosomal RNA", at positions 254 to 438 of the family's 3401-position model. The record is from RNAcentral. Lineage: Eukaryota; Fungi; Ascomycota; Dothideomycetes; Pleosporales; Leptosphaeriaceae.